GCCACACCUUCAACAGUCGUAACGCUCUUAGCAGCGGCAUCAUCCGGCGCUUCACCCCCGGCUGCCCCAGUCUGGGCACUAACUUCUCCAACUACUUCACCAAUGGAAGCCUUAAAAAUAAAAGCAAGCAAGUCUUCUGGAGAAAUAGAGAAGCUCAUCCACUCCUUUCUUAGCAUAAGCAGCAAAACAAAGCUCAGAAAUUGCAAGCUUAAGAUCUUGAAUCUGAGGCAAAUCAAUCUCAGCAGCAAAGGGAGCAGGCUUUGGUGCCACUUUAGCAGCAGAGUCCACCUUACCACUCUUUAUAAUAGCAAGUCUCUACAAAGGUGAACCAGACUUGGCUCCCAAAGAACGUCCUGGUACAGACUUCGGCACUAAGGGCACGAUAAAACCUUUACGCUGAGCAAUCUUAUCCACAAUUGUACUAGCCAUUCUCAACAUGGAAGACG
RNAcentral lists this long non-coding RNA (446 nucleotides) under Malus domestica (apple). RNAcentral describes it as "long non-coding RNA (MDOM_LNC015255)". Lineage: Eukaryota; Viridiplantae; Streptophyta; Magnoliopsida; Rosales; Rosaceae. The record is from RNAcentral.